AUACGUAGGGGGCGAGCGUUGUCCGGAAUGAUUGGGCGUAUAGGGCGCGUAGGCGGCCCGGUAAGUCUGGAGUGAAAGUCCUGUUUUUAAGAUGGGAAUUGCUUUGGAUACUGUCGGGCUUGAGUGCAGGAGAGGUAAGUGGAAUUCCUAGUGUAGCGGUGAAAUGCGUAGAUAUUAGGAGGAACACCAGUGGCGAAGGCGGCCUGCUGGACGACAACUGACGCUGAGGCGCGAAAGCGUGGGGAGCAAACAGGAUUAGAUACCCUGGUAGUCCACGCUGUAAACGAUGAAUACUAGGUGUGGGGGGACUGACCCCCUCCGUGCCGCAGUUAACACAAUAAGUAUUCCACCUGGGGAGUACGAUCGCAAGAUUGAAACUCAAAGGAAUUGACGGGG
Molecule: ribosomal RNA, 396 nt
Filed under: uncultured bacterium
Lineage: Bacteria
Description: partial 16S ribosomal RNA
Rfam family: Bacterial small subunit ribosomal RNA
Source: RNAcentral